GAACGCUCGGGCGGGUGCCUAAUACAUGCAAGUCGAGCGAACGGACGAGAAGCUUGCUUCUCUGAUGUUAGCGGCGGACGGGUGAGUAACACGUGGAUAACCUACCUAUAAGACUGGGAUAACUUCGGGAAACCGGAGCUAAUCACCGGAUAAUAUUUUGAACCGCAUGGUUCAAAAGUGAAAGACGGUCUUGCUGUCACUUAUAGAUGGAUCCGCGCUGCAUUAGCUAGUUGGUAAGGUAACGGCUUACCAAGGCAACGAUGCAUAGCCGACCUGAGAGGGUGAUCGGCCACACUGGAACUGAGACACGGUCCAGACUCCUACGGGAGGCAGCAGUAGGGAAUCUUCCGCAAUGGGCGAAAGCCUGACGGAGCAACGCCGCGUGAGUGAUGAAGGUCUUCGGAUCGUAAAACUCUGUUAUUAGGGAAGAACAUAUGUGUAAGUAACCGUGCACAUCUUGACGGUACCUAAUCAGAAAGCCACGGUAACUACGUGCCAGCAGCCGGGUAAUACGUAGGUGGCAAGCGUAUCCGGAAUUAUUGGGCGUAAAGCGCGCGUAGGCGGAUAAAAAGUCUGAUGUGAAAGCCCACGGUCAACCGUAGGAGGGUCCUUGG
Molecule: ribosomal RNA, 614 nt
Filed under: uncultured Staphylococcus sp.
Lineage: Bacteria; Bacillati; Bacillota; Bacilli; Caryophanales; Staphylococcaceae
Description: bacterial SSU rRNA
Rfam family: Bacterial small subunit ribosomal RNA
Source: RNAcentral